This 481-nucleotide ribosomal RNA is filed under the name uncultured bacterium. Its description in RNAcentral is "partial 16S ribosomal RNA". It matches the Rfam family "Bacterial small subunit ribosomal RNA", at positions 28 to 507 of the family's 1533-position model. The record is from RNAcentral.
GACGAACGUUGGCGGCGUGCUUAAUACAUGCAAGUCAACUGAAGCAGUGGUAGCAAUAUCGCUGUGGAGGUGGCGCACGGGUGAGUAACACGUAGGUAAUCUGCCUUCAGGUCUGGCAUAACUCCGGGAAACCGGGGCUAAUAGCAGAUGAUGCAGCGGCUCGACAUCGAGACAGUUGUUAAAGCUAUGGCGCCUGAAGAUGAGCCUGCGUCUGAUUAGCUAGUUGGCGGGGUAACGGCCCACCAAGGCAACGAUCAGUAGCUGGUCUGAGAGGAUGAUCAGCCACACUGGAACUGAGACACGGUCCAGACUCCUACGGGAGGCAGCAGUAAGGAAUAUUGCUCAAUGGGAGAAAUCCUGAAGCAGCAACGCCGCGUGAGGGACGAAGGGCUUUUGCUUGUAAACCUCUGUAGUGAGAGAAAAAAAUCCCAAGCUUUGGGACAUGAUGGUAUCUCAAAAGUAAGCCCCGGCUAACUACGUG